This 616-nucleotide ribosomal RNA is filed under the name Clostridioides difficile. RNAcentral describes it as "bacterial SSU rRNA". It matches the Rfam family "Bacterial small subunit ribosomal RNA", at positions 200 to 841 of the family's 1533-position model. The record is from RNAcentral. Lineage: Bacteria; Bacillati; Bacillota; Clostridia; Peptostreptococcales; Peptostreptococcaceae.
AUCAAAGGUGAGCCAGUACAGGAUGGACCCGCGUCUGAUUAGCUAGUUGGUAAGGUAACGGCUUACCAAGGCGCCGAUCAGUAGCCGACCUGAGAGGGUGAUCGGCCACAUUGGAACUGAGACACGGUCCAAACUCCUACGGGAGGCAGCAGUGGGGAAUAUUGCACAAUGGGCGAAAGCCUGAUGCAGCACCGCCGCGUGAGGGAUGAAGGCAUUCGGGUCGGACAACUCUGUCCUCAAGGAAGAUAAUGACGGUACUUGAGGAGGAAGCCCCGGCUAACUACGUGCCAGCAGCCGCGGGAAUACGUAGGGGGCUAGCGUUAUCCGGAUUUACUGGGCGUAAAGGGUGCGUAGGCGGUCUUUCAAGUCAGGAGUGAAAGGCUACGGCUCAACCGUAGUUAGCUCGUGAAACUGGGAGACUUGAGUGCAGGAGAGGAGAGUGGAAUUCCUAGUGUAGCGGUGAAAUGCGUAGAUAUUAGGAGGAACACCAGUUGCGAAGGCGGCUCUCUGGACUGUAACUGACGCUGAGGCACGAAAGCGUGGGGAGCAAACAGGAUUAGAUACCCUGGUAGUCCACGCUGUAAACGAUGAGUACUAGGUGUCGGGGGUUACCCCC